This 301-nucleotide ribosomal RNA is filed under the name uncultured bacterium. Its description in RNAcentral is "partial 16S ribosomal RNA". It matches the Rfam family "Bacterial small subunit ribosomal RNA", at positions 509 to 807 of the family's 1533-position model. The record is from RNAcentral.
CAGCAGCCACGGUAAUACGAAGGGGGCUAGCGUUGUUCGGAUUUACUGGGCGUAAAGGGCGCGUAGGCGGACUGAUAAGUCAGGGGUGAAAUCCCAAGGCUCAACCUUGGAACUGCCUUUGACACUGUUUGUCUUGAGUUCGAGAGAGGUAAGUGGAACUGCGAGUGUAGAGGUGAAAUUCGUAGAUAUUCGCAAGAACACCAGUGGCGAAGGCGGCUUACUGGCUCGAAACUGACGCUGAGGCGCGAAAGCGUGGGGAGCAAACAGGAUUAGAUACCCCAGUAGUCCCUGUCUCUUAUAC